AGUACUGGAACCAGGCACCAGGAACCAGGCUGGUGGCUUUUUCCUUCACCUUCACUCCUUUUUACAGUUUCCACUCUUCUUUCUCACACUCAAGCCUUGUCAUCCAUGCUCAUAGAUUGUGACCAACUCUACUCAACUCUGGCCUUGUUCAAAAAGAUACAGAAAACUUACAGUGCUGCAGUGUAAUUGUUGACCCCAGAAUUCCGAGGAUUUACUCAAAGGUUCAACUGGGAAAGAAGGGAUGCCUUUGCCAUCUCAUCUGGGUUGAUACCUGCACUCAGAUUUCUGAAGCU
This 293-nucleotide long non-coding RNA is filed under the name Cricetulus griseus (Chinese hamster). RNAcentral's name for it is "lncRNA (ENSCGRG00000026011.1)". Lineage: Eukaryota; Metazoa; Chordata; Mammalia; Rodentia; Cricetidae. The record is from RNAcentral.